UACAGAGGUCUCAAGCGUUGUUCGGAUUCAUUGGGCGUAAAGGGUGCGUAGGUGGUUUGGUAAGUUGAAUGUGAAAUCUCGGAGCUUAACUCCGAAACUGCCUUCAAUACUGCCGGACUUGAGGACUGUAGAGGAGAAUGGAAUUCACGGUGUAGCAGUGAAAUGCGUAGAUAUCGUGAGGAAGACCAGUGGCGAAGGCGAUUCUCUGGGCAGUUCCUGACACUGAGGCACGAAGGCUAGGGGAGCAAACGGG
RNAcentral lists this ribosomal RNA (253 nucleotides) under uncultured bacterium. RNAcentral describes it as "partial 16S ribosomal RNA". It matches the Rfam family "Bacterial small subunit ribosomal RNA", at positions 524 to 776 of the family's 1533-position model. The record is from RNAcentral.